Molecule: transfer RNA, 71 nt
Filed under: Heterocephalus glaber (naked mole-rat)
Lineage: Eukaryota; Metazoa; Chordata; Mammalia; Rodentia; Bathyergidae
Rfam family: tRNA
About the family: Transfer RNA (tRNA) molecules are approximately 80 nucleotides in length. Their secondary structure includes four short double-helical elements and three loops (D, anti-codon, and T loops). Further hydrogen bonds mediate the characteristic L-shaped molecular structure. tRNAs have two regions of fundamental functional importance: the anti-codon, which is responsible for specific mRNA codon recognition, and the 3' end, to which the tRNAs corresponding amino acid is attached (by aminoacyl-tRNA synthetases). tRNAs cope with the degeneracy of the genetic code in two manners: having more than one tRNA (with a specific anti-codon) for a particular amino acid; and 'wobble' base-pairing, i.e. permitting non-standard base-pairing at the 3rd anti-codon position.
Source: Rfam by way of RNAcentral
UGGGGUGUGGCUUAGUGGUAGAGCUCUUGCCUUGCAAGCAGGAGGCUCUGGGUUUGAUCCUCACACUACAA